GACGUAGGGCGCGAGCGUUGUCCGGAUUUAUUGGGCGUAAAGAGCUCGUAGGCGGUUUGUCGCGUCUGCUGUGAAAACUCGGGGCUUAACCCCGGGCCUGCAGUGGGUACGGGCAGACUAGAGUGCGGUAGGGGAGACUGGAAUUCCUGGUGUAGCGGUGAAAUGCGCAGAUAUCAGGAGGAACACCGGUGGCGAAGGCGGGUCUCUGGGCCGUAACUGACGCUGAGGAGCGAAAGCAUGGGGAGCGAACAGG
Molecule: ribosomal RNA, 253 nt
Filed under: uncultured bacterium
Lineage: Bacteria
Description: partial 16S ribosomal RNA
Rfam family: Bacterial small subunit ribosomal RNA
Source: RNAcentral